RNAcentral lists this long non-coding RNA (224 nucleotides) under Mytilus galloprovincialis (Mediterranean mussel). The record is from RNAcentral. Lineage: Eukaryota; Metazoa; Mollusca; Bivalvia; Mytilida; Mytilidae.
AUGUGGAGCAGGAUCUGCUUACCCUUCCGGGGCACCUGAGAUCACCCCUAGUUUUUGGUGGGGUUCGUGUUGUUUAUUCUUUAGAUUUCUAUGUUGUGUCAUGUGUACUAUUGUUUUUCUGUUUGUCUUUUUCAUUUUUAGCCAUGGCGUUGUCAGUUUGUUUUAGAUUUAUGAGUUUGACUGUCCCUUUGGUAUCUUUCGUCCCUCUUUUAAUGGUUUGUAUC